AUACGGAGGGUGCGAGCGUUAAUCGGAAUUACUGGGCGUAAAGGGUGCGUAGGCGGCUUGAUAAGUCGGAUGUGAAAGCCCCGGGCUUAACCUGGGAAUUGCAUUCGAUACUGUCAGGCUAGAGUCUGUCAGAGGUUGGCGGAAUUCCUGGUGUAGCGGUGAAAUGCGUAGAUAUCAGGAGGAACACCAGUGGCGAAGGCGGCUAACUGGGGAAAUACUGACGCUGAGGCACGAAAGCGUGGGGAGCAAACAGGAUUAGAAACCCUAGUAGUCC
RNAcentral lists this ribosomal RNA (274 nucleotides) under uncultured bacterium. RNAcentral describes it as "partial 16S ribosomal RNA". It matches the Rfam family "Bacterial small subunit ribosomal RNA", at positions 523 to 796 of the family's 1533-position model. The record is from RNAcentral.